Molecule: unclassified non-coding RNA, 298 nt
Filed under: plant metagenome
Description: partial contains 5.8S ribosomal RNA, internal transcribed spacer 2, and large subunit ribosomal RNA
Rfam family: 5.8S ribosomal RNA (bases 1-105)
Source: RNAcentral
GAAAUGCGAUAAGUAAUGUGAAUUGCAGAAUUCAGUGAAUCAUCGAAUCUUUGAACGCACAUUGCGCCCCCUGGUAUUCCGGGGGGCAUGCCUGUUCAAGCGUCAUUUCACCACUCAAGCCUCGCUUGGUAUUGGGCAACGCGGUCCGCCGCGUGCCUCAAAUCGACCGGCUGGGUCUUCUGUCCCCUAAGCGUUGUGGAAACUAUUCGCUAAAGGGUGUUCGGGAGGCUACGCCGUAAAACAACCCCAUUUCUAAGGUUGACCACGGAUCAGGUAGGGAUACCCGCUGAACUUAAGC